This 252-nucleotide ribosomal RNA is filed under the name uncultured bacterium. RNAcentral's name for it is "partial 16S ribosomal RNA". It matches the Rfam family "Bacterial small subunit ribosomal RNA", at positions 524 to 776 of the family's 1533-position model. The record is from RNAcentral.
UACGAAGGCCCCAAGCGUUAUCCGGAAUUACUGGGCGUAAAGCGUCUGUAGGUGGUCUGGCAAGUCUUGUGUGAAACUUCGGAGCUCAACUCCGAAUUGCACAGGAAACUAUCAGACUUGAGUGUGGGAGAGGCAAGCAGAACGGUAUGAGUAGGGGUGCAAUCCGUUGAUACAUACCAGAAUACCAAAAGCGAAGGCAGCUUGCUGGAACACAACUGACACUGAGAGACGAAAGCGUGGGGAGCGAAAGGG